RNAcentral lists this long non-coding RNA (213 nucleotides) under Ananas comosus (pineapple). Its description in RNAcentral is "long non-coding RNA (ACOM_LNC002791)". Lineage: Eukaryota; Viridiplantae; Streptophyta; Magnoliopsida; Poales; Bromeliaceae. The record is from RNAcentral.
UUUAAAAAUAUACAGAAUUUGAGUCAGAGGGUUACCGCAACGGAAGUUGGGGCAAAAACAUAUAAAGAAAAGUUUGUUCGGUUUCAAAUGAACCGUACAAAUUGUAUCUUAACUGAAUCAUUGCGAUCAACAGAUAUAUAUGUUGUUCUUUGUACAUAACACAGCCUUCGUACAUGUAACCUUAAACAGUAUCUUAGUACAGAUCAGAUUCAU